RNAcentral lists this transfer RNA (69 nucleotides) under Gorpis annulatus. Its description in RNAcentral is "tRNA-Ser". It matches the Rfam family "tRNA". From Rfam's summary of the family: Transfer RNA (tRNA) molecules are approximately 80 nucleotides in length. Their secondary structure includes four short double-helical elements and three loops (D, anti-codon, and T loops). The record is from RNAcentral. Lineage: Eukaryota; Metazoa; Arthropoda; Insecta; Hemiptera; Nabidae.
AGUUAAAUAGCUUAAGUAAAGCUUAUAUUUUGAAAGUAUAAUAUAAAGGUUAAAUUCCUUUAUUAACUU